CAGCCGCCGCGGGAAUACGAAGGGGGCUAGCGUUGCUCGGAAUUACUGGGCGUAAAGGGAGCGUAGGCGGAUCGUUAAGUUGGGGGUGAAAGCCCGGGGCUCAACCUCGGAACUGCCUUCAAUACUGGCGAUCUUGAGUAUGAGAGAGGUGUGUGGAACUCCGAGUGUAGAGGUGAAAUUCGUAGAUAUUCGGAAGAACACCAGUGGCGAAGGCGACACACUGGCUCAUUACUGACGCUGAGGCUCGAAAGCGUGGGGAGCAAACAGGAUUAGAUACCCCCGUAGUCCCUGUCUCUUAUAC
This 301-nucleotide ribosomal RNA is filed under the name uncultured bacterium. RNAcentral describes it as "partial 16S ribosomal RNA". It matches the Rfam family "Bacterial small subunit ribosomal RNA", at positions 509 to 807 of the family's 1533-position model. The record is from RNAcentral.